GACGAACGCUGGCGGCGUGCUUAACACAUGCAAGUCGAACGGAAAGGCCCUGCUUUUGUGGGGUGCUCGAGUGGCGAACGGGUGAGUAACACGUGAGUAACCUGCCCUUGACUUUGGGAUAACUUCAGGAAACUGGGGCUAAUACCGGAUAGGAGCUCCUGCUGCAUGGUGGGGGUUGGAAAGUUUCGGCGGUUGGGGAUGGACUCGCGGCUUAUCAGCUUGUUGGUGGGGUAGUGGCUUACCAAGGCUUUGACGGGUAGCCGGCCUGAGAGGGUGACCGGCCACAUUGGGACUGAGAUACGGCCCAGACUGCUACGGGAGGGAGCAGAGGGAAAUACUGCACAAUGGGCGGAAGCCUGAUGAAGCAACGCCGCGUGCGGGAUGACGGCCUUCGGGUUGUAAACCGCAUUCGCCUGUGACGAAGCGUGAGUGACGGUAAUGGGUAAAGAAGCACCGGCUAACUACGUG
RNAcentral lists this ribosomal RNA (468 nucleotides) under uncultured bacterium. Its description in RNAcentral is "partial 16S ribosomal RNA". It matches the Rfam family "Bacterial small subunit ribosomal RNA", at positions 28 to 507 of the family's 1533-position model. The record is from RNAcentral.